UUCAGCUUUGAGCUUAGGGGGUAAUUUUCAGCCCAGAAUAUUGAGUGACUUGGAAAUAAGCCUAGCACAUUGCUUAUGACUCCUUGAGAAGCCGGUAUCGGCAUCACCCUCAAGCUAACUAUGCUUUUGUUAAACUUUGUGGCUGAAGGGAUGGACUUCAGAAUUCGGUUCCAACCUUCUGUCCUAAUCUAGCUGUUCCCACUUUACAGUUCAAGAAGCACCUACUGAGAAAAAUGGGGAGGAAAAAAGAAAUGAAGCUCCAGUACAGCAAACUGUGAAUUCAGAGGUGGAGAGGCAGAGAGACAGGCUGAAGAGCUCUCAGUCAGAAUGAUCAAACUGUAAAAAAAAGAAGGUAUGAGCCACAGCAGAGAUCUGAAAAACAGCCAGAGAAACCAUCCUGGAUUUCAUAAAACCCCAAAAGAUUAUACGACUUCAUGUCAUGGCUUUGGGAGAAUGAUAAAAUUGAGGUUGAUAAAUGGCUUGUGUUAAUGGUUCUA
Neopsephotus bourkii (Bourke's parrot) is the source of this 497-nucleotide long non-coding RNA. RefSeq lists it as uncharacterized. Lineage: Eukaryota; Metazoa; Chordata; Aves; Psittaciformes; Psittacidae. The record is from RefSeq and is a predicted model, not a curated record. The transcript is spliced from 2 exons.